RNAcentral lists this long non-coding RNA (718 nucleotides) under Struthio camelus australis. Its description in RNAcentral is "lncRNA (ENSSCUG00000006958.1)". The record is from RNAcentral. Lineage: Eukaryota; Metazoa; Chordata; Aves; Struthioniformes; Struthionidae.
AUGUCAUUUAAUCUUUCAGUAUUUCACUUUGUACAGUGGGAGAUGAAGAUAAAACUCUUCUUCACUAUAGAAAUGUUGCAAGGUUCAUCAGUGCCAAAUGGACACUUUUUCUUAGGUGUGCAUCGUUCAGUGCUAUCCUAUUUUUGCAGUUCCAGUGCCAUAUAUGUGCCUUGUAUUCCACAUGGAAGGUAUAGAGAGGUGGGCAUUUUCUACUCCUCCGUUGCCCUUCAACCACAAGAUCCCAAAGUACAAGGGCCUUGAAGGAAGAAGAAAAAAAGGCAGUUAUAAAAGAGGUCAGCAAAUGUGUGAGUAAGAAGGAUGAAACAGAUGAGGCUACAAAAAACAUGUGGAACACAGACUGGAUACGUUUCUGACAUCCAUGUGGCUUCCUUCACAUUUGUUUCAGAUUUCCAAGCAUCCAGCAUUUCUAGCCUCAAAAAAACAAAAAAGAUUGGGAAAAACCUGGUCUGAGUCAGGUGGUGAUAUUUCAUUAAAGUCCUUAAGUGCCGUUUAAAUAGACAAACAGAAAAUCCUUUCUCUGUUCUCAGUAGGUAUAAUUUAGACAGACAGUGUGUAAUGAGGCAAGUUACUGUUGUCCAUAGUAACCCUCAGAUCCAACUCUCUGCUUGGAUGAGCUAUUCCAAAAGACUCAGUGUUACUGUUGCAUUCAAAGGUACAUCAAAGAAUAAAUAUAACUCAUAAUAGUGCUAGUAUUUCA